CCUCAAAUGCUCGGCCUUUACCUGCUGGCAGCACAAGCAACGGGAAACAAAGUCAGCAAUAUCUCUCCUCAUGCCACUCCACCAGUAAUGCUGCCUCAAAUCACGAUACAUCUUCGCUGUGCCCGGAUGGAUAGAGUAUCUAGACUCAUGGGCCUCAGAAAGUAUCAACUGUAUCAAAUCUCCAACUCUCGAAACACAGAUGCGGCCGGCAAAUUUCAACACUCCAUCAGGAUCUAAGGUAGCCUGACCACCAUCACCCGCUAACACUCGAUCUCUAAGGGCCACCAAGGUAUCAUCCUCAAACUGGCAACCACGGAUCCUAUCAAGCAAAGAAGACUGAACUCCCAUAAAGGCCAAGACGCGUCUAGAAUCUGAGAUAUCCAACCGAACCAUGCUAUUAGCUAAGGACUGAAUGUCCAAAGCUAAGGGUCGCUCCUCAACAGAUAAGAAGGCUAGACUACCCAUACUCACUGCCUUCCGGCUCAAGGCGUCCGCUACCACAUUCGCCUUGCCCGGAUGAUAGAGAAUAGAGAGGUCGUAGUCCUUCAGGAGCUCAAUCCAACGACGCUGCCUCAAAUUAAGGUCCCUCUGGCUCAUGAUGUACUGAAGACUCCUAUGAUCGGUAUAGAUCUCACAUCGAACUCCAUACAAGUAGUUCCCGGAUGGAUAGAGUAUCUAGACUCAUGGGCCUCAGAAAGUAUCAACUGUAUCAAAUCUCCAACUCUCGAAACACAGAUGCGGCCGGCAAAUUUCAACACUCCAUCAGGAUCUAAGGUAGCCUGACCACCAUCACCCGCUAACACUCGAUCUCUAAGGGCCACCAAGGUAUCAUCCUCAAACUGACGGCUGCGAAUCCGAUCCAACAGAGAUGAUUGAGCAUCCACAUAAGCUAGUACACACCGGGAAUCAGAGAUAUCAAGUCGUACCAUGCUAUUAGCUAAGGACUGAAUGUCCAAAGCUAAGGGUCGCUCCUCAACAGAUAAGAAGGCUAGACUACCCAUACUCACUGCCUUCCGGCUCAAGGCGUCCGCUACCACAUUCGCCUUGCCCGGAUGAUAGAGAAUAGAGAGGUCAUAGUCCUUCAGGAGCUCAAUCCAACGACGCUGCCU
RNAcentral lists this long non-coding RNA (1109 nucleotides) under Solanum tuberosum (potato). RNAcentral describes it as "long non-coding RNA (STUB_LNC000263)". Lineage: Eukaryota; Viridiplantae; Streptophyta; Magnoliopsida; Solanales; Solanaceae. The record is from RNAcentral.